This is a non-coding RNA of Oryctolagus cuniculus (rabbit), 988 nucleotides long. Lineage: Eukaryota; Metazoa; Chordata; Mammalia; Lagomorpha; Leporidae. The record is from RefSeq and is a predicted model, not a curated record.
GCCUGGCAUGCCGGCAAGCGUGGCAGGUGAAAAGGCGCGGCCCACUCGGGAGGCGGGGCGCGGGGCGGGGCCCGCGAGGAGGGCGGGUCCCUGGCGGCGUCAUGGCGGACGCGGCCCUGGACGCCGUGCGGAGCGAGUUGCGAGGAUUCCCGGCCGCGGCCCGCGAGUGGACAGUGAGAGAGAGAGACAGAGAGAAAGGUCUUCCUUUGCUGUUGGUUCACCCUCCAAUGGCCGCUGCUGCCGGCGCACCGCGCUGAUCCGAAGCCAGGAGCCAGAGCUCAGUGUGCCCUCUGCUGUGCCCUACCUGGACGAGCCCCCGAGCCCACUCCACUUCUACCGGGACUGGGUCUGCCCCAACAGACCGUGCAUCAUCCGCAAUGCCCUGCGGCACUGGCCGGCCCUGCACAAGUGGUCCCUCCCCUACCUGAGGGCCACGGUGGGCUCCACAGAGGUGAGUGUGGCUGUGACCCCAGAUGGUUAUGCGGACGCUGUGCGAGGGGACCGCUUCGUGAUGCCAGCCGAACGCCGCCUGCCCCUCAGCUGCGUGCUGGACGUCCUGGAGGGCCGGACGCAGCACCCGGGAGUCCUCUACGUGCAGAAGCAGUGCUCCAACCUGCCCACCGAGCUGCCCCAGCUGCUGCCCGACCUGGAGCCCCACGUGCCCUGGGCCUCUGAGGCCCUGGGAAAGAUGCCUGAUGCUGUGAACUUCUGGUUGGGGGAGGCAGCUGCAGUGACCUCUUGUAGUGCACAAGGACCACUACGAGAACCUCUACUGCGUGCUCUCGGGCGAGAAGCACUUCCUGCUCCAUCCGCCCACCGACCGGCCCUUCAUCCCCUAUGAGCUGUAUACACCGGCUACCUACCAGCUGACUGAAGAAGGCACCUUCAAGAUGGUGGACGAAGAGGCCAUGGAGAAGGUGCCCUGGAUCCCACUGGACCCCUUGGCUCCAGACCUGGCCCGGUUCCCUGGGUACAGCCAGGCACAGGC